CUGUCUUGUUUAUAAAAAUUGAAUUUGACUUUUAAGUGAAAAGGCUUAAAUUAUAUAAAGGGACGAUAAGACCCUAUAAAACUUUAUAUGAAAUAAAUUUUUUAUUAUAAUUAUUUGUUUAAUAAGGAAUAGUUUAUUAAUAUUUUAUUGGGGCGAUAGGAAUAUAAAUAAAUAACUGUUCUUGUGAAAUAUAAAUAUCAUUAUUUAUAAAGAUCCUUAAUUAGAGAUUAAAAGGUAAAGUUACUUUAGGGAUAACAGCGUAAUUUUUUUUAAGAGUUCUUAUCGACAAAAAAGAUUGCGACCUCGAUGUUGAAUUAAAAUUUCUUUAUGGUGCAGGAGCUAUAAGAGAAAGUCUGUUCGACUUUUAAAAUUUUA
Molecule: ribosomal RNA, 375 nt
Filed under: Stenopus scutellatus
Lineage: Eukaryota; Metazoa; Arthropoda; Malacostraca; Decapoda; Stenopodidae
Description: partial 16S ribosomal RNA
Rfam family: Bacterial large subunit ribosomal RNA (bases 251-375)
Source: RNAcentral